CUUUACUGUAGCCUGGAAUUGGCUUCGGGCGGUGCUUGCGCAGUAUAGGUGGAAGGCGUUGAGAUUACUCUUGCGGGAUUAGUGGAGCCAUCAGUGAGAUACCACUCCUAUAAUGUUAGAUUUCUAACUUUGGAUCAUAAUCUGGUCAAAGAACAGUUUCAGGCGGGCAGUUUGACUGGGGCGGUCGCCUCCCAAAUGGUAACGGAGGCGUACACAGGUUUCCUCUGAACGGGUAGAAAUCGUAUCUAGAGUGUAAAGGCAUAAGGAAGCUUGACUGUGAGACCUACAAGUCGAGCAGGGACGAAAGUCGGUCUUAGUGAUCUGACGGUGCUGAGUGGAAAGGCCGUCACUCAACGGAUAAAAGUUA
RNAcentral lists this ribosomal RNA (367 nucleotides) under uncultured organism. RNAcentral describes it as "bacterial LSU rRNA". It matches the Rfam family "Bacterial large subunit ribosomal RNA", at positions 2099 to 2465 of the family's 2925-position model. The record is from RNAcentral.